GAUGAACGCUGGCGGCGUGCCUAAUACAUGCAAGUCGAGCGAACAGACGAGGAGCUUGCUCCUCUGACGUUAGCGGCGGACGGGUGAGUAACACGUGGAUAACCUACCUAUAAGACUGGGAUAACUUCGGGAAACCGGAGCUAAUACCGGAUAAUAUAUUGAACCGCAUGGUUCAAUAGUGAAAGACGGUUUUGCUGUCACUUAUAGAUGGAUCCGCGCCGCAUUAGCUAGUUGGUAAGGUAACGGCUUACCAAGGCGACGAUGCGUAGCCGACCUGAGAGGGUGAUCGGCCACACUGGAACUGAGACACGGUCCAGACUCCUACGGGAGGCAGCAGUAGGGAAUCUUCCGCAAUGGGCGAAAGCCUGACGGAGCAACGCCGCGUGAGUGAUGAAGGUCUUCGGAUCGUAAAACUCUGUUAUUAGGGAAGAACAAAUGUGUAAUUAACUAUGCACGUCUUGACGGUACCUAAUCAGAAAGCCACGGCUAACUACGUG
RNAcentral lists this ribosomal RNA (497 nucleotides) under uncultured bacterium. RNAcentral's name for it is "partial 16S ribosomal RNA". It matches the Rfam family "Bacterial small subunit ribosomal RNA", at positions 28 to 507 of the family's 1533-position model. The record is from RNAcentral.